UACGAAGGGGGCUAGCGUUGUUCGGAAUUACUGGGCGUAAAGGGCGCGUAGGCGGUGUGUCAAGUCAGGCGUGAAAGCCCCGGGCUCAACCUGGGAACCGCGCUUGAGACUGGCACGCUCGAGUUCGGGAGAGGAUGGUGGAAUUCCCAGUGUAGAGGUGAAAUUCGUAGAUAUUGGAAGAACACCGAUGGCGAAGGCAGCCAUCUGGACCGACACUGACGCUGAGGCGCGAAAGCGUGGGGAGCAAACGGG
This 252-nucleotide ribosomal RNA is filed under the name uncultured bacterium. Its description in RNAcentral is "partial 16S ribosomal RNA". It matches the Rfam family "Bacterial small subunit ribosomal RNA", at positions 524 to 776 of the family's 1533-position model. The record is from RNAcentral.